AUUGAGUUUCAAUGCAUUGCUGGU
RNAcentral lists this non-coding RNA (24 nucleotides) under Arabidopsis thaliana (thale cress). Lineage: Eukaryota; Viridiplantae; Streptophyta; Magnoliopsida; Brassicales; Brassicaceae. The record is from RNAcentral.